Molecule: transfer RNA, 73 nt
Filed under: Ailuropoda melanoleuca (giant panda)
Lineage: Eukaryota; Metazoa; Chordata; Mammalia; Carnivora; Ursidae
Rfam family: tRNA
About the family: Transfer RNA (tRNA) molecules are approximately 80 nucleotides in length. Their secondary structure includes four short double-helical elements and three loops (D, anti-codon, and T loops).
Source: Rfam by way of RNAcentral
GCCUGGCUGGCUGAGUUGGUAGAGCAUGAAACUUUUGAUCUCAAGGUUGUGAGUUCAAGCCCCACACUGAGUG